CGCCGUAAACGAUGUCGAUUUGGAGGUUGUGCCCUUGAGGCGUGGCUUCCGGAGCUAACGCGUUAAAUCGACCGCCUGGGGAGUACGGCCGCAAGGUUAAAACUCAAAUGAAUUGACGGGGGCCCGCACAAGCGGUGGAGCAUGUGGUUUAAUUCGAUGCAACGCGAAGAACCUUACCUGGUCUUGACAUCCACAGAACUUUCCAGAGAUGGAUUGGUGCCUUCGGGAACUGUGAGACAGGUGCUGCAUGGCUGUCGUCAGCUCGUGUUGUGAAAUGUUGGGUUAAGUCCCGCAACGAGCGCAACCCUUAUCCUUUGUUGCCAGCGGUUAGGCCGGGAACUCAAAGGAGACUGCCAGUGAUAAACUGGAGGAAGGUGGGGAUGACGUCAAGUCAUCAUGGCCCUUACGACCAGGGCUACACACGUGCUACAAUGGCGCAUACAAAGAGAAGCGACCUCGCGAGAGCAAGCGGACCUCAUAAAGUGCGUCGUAGUCCGGAUUGGAGUCUGCAACUCGACUCCAUGAAGUCGGAAUCGCUAGUAAUCGUAGAUCAGAAUGCUACGGUGAAUACGUUCCCGGGCCUUGUACACACCGCCCGUCACACCAUGGGAGUGGGUUGCAAAAGAAGUAGGUAGCUUAACCUC
This 644-nucleotide ribosomal RNA is filed under the name Enterobacter sp. HPCAQRKSM89. Its description in RNAcentral is "bacterial SSU rRNA". It matches the Rfam family "Bacterial small subunit ribosomal RNA", at positions 798 to 1442 of the family's 1533-position model. The record is from RNAcentral. Lineage: Bacteria; Pseudomonadati; Pseudomonadota; Gammaproteobacteria; Enterobacterales; Enterobacteriaceae.